This 468-nucleotide ribosomal RNA is filed under the name uncultured bacterium. RNAcentral describes it as "partial 16S ribosomal RNA". It matches the Rfam family "Bacterial small subunit ribosomal RNA", at positions 28 to 507 of the family's 1533-position model. The record is from RNAcentral.
GACGAACGCUGGCGGCGUGCUUAACACAUGCAAGUCGAACGGAAAGGCCCUGCUUUUGUGGGGUGCUCGAGUGGCGAACGGGUGAGUAACACGUGAGUAACCUGCCCUUGACUUUGGGAUAACUUCAGGAAACUGGGGCUAAUACCGGAUAGGAGCUCCUGCUGCAUGGUGGGGGGUGGAAAGUUUCGGCGGUUGGGGAUGGACUCGCGGCUUAUCAGCUUGUUGGGGGGGUAGUGGCUUACCAAGGCUUUGACGGGUAGCCGGCCUGAGAGGGUGACCGGCCCCAUUGGGACUGGGUUACGGCCCAGACCCCUACGGGAGGCAGCGGUGGGGAAUUUUGCACAAUGGGCGGAAGCCUGAUGCAGGAACGCCGCGGGCGGGAUGACGGCCUUCGGGUGUUAAACCGCUUUCGCCUGUGACGAAGCGUGUGUGACGGUAAUGGGUAAAGAAGCACCGGCUAACUACGUG